UUCUAAAUACGAAGUUUUGCCACUCUAGGAGCUGCCUAAGAAAAACACAGCACGCCUUCUGCUUCCUAAAUAACACAUACUCUGCACAUUUCGUUGCCUGUGUGAAAUAAAUUCCCCCAUGCUCUUAUAUGGAAACCUUGCCAGUCCUCCCACAUGCCUCCCGCUACAGUAUCAGGCAGGGAUGGGCAUUCUUUAUCUUAAAGCCACUGGGUGAAUUUUGGAGCCAAUACCCCAAGACAACCCAGAAUUAUCAUCCCUUCGCAGCACGCCGAGCUCGGCAACCUGCCCUGGGCUGUCCCUGCGUUUUAUUUCCAAGUCUCAAUCGAGACUUACGAUUUCAGCAUCAAGAAUCGACACGGUAAAAGGAAAACGAGGGGAAUAAAAAGAAGCAGCUGUGUUCGCCGCCGGGAAGGCCCAUUAGCAUCAGCUGUAGCAUCGCCUCUUCACUCGAGGCCAGAAAAAAACACAGCAGGGAGGGGUGGGGAUGCGAGAGAAAAAGGGAAAAAAUAGCCGGGGAGAGAAGCGUGCUCCGAAGCCGCGCCGGAGGGCCGCCAGCACGAGGGGAACCGCUGCGAACUGUUAUCGGCAAAAAAAAGAAAAGUUAACGCAAGCUUCACGUUGGAAGGCAUCCUUUGGUGAAGGCAGCGAGCAUUUUGUGAGCCUCCAUGAGGACCACAAGCGCAGGUGGCUUUGGCCGCACCAGGGAACAAAGCAAACAUUUCUCACCAGUGCAGCCGCUUGUUCAGUCGCAGUGAGAAUGGCUCGAUGGAGAUUAGGAACCGGCAGUCACAUUGGUGAAAUUUCUAUUGAUUUCAGUGUGCGCCGGCCCGUUCAGAGCGUGAUCAAGCCUAACCCUUUAAAAACUCCACCAUGAAGGCAGUAACCCAAACUUAACUAAGACAAGCCAAAAUCGUUCCAGUUACAGGGUUUAAAAAAGACACUGGGCCAAAUCCCUGGCUUGGCUACAACGUGUGGAAAUCUACUGAGAAUGCAUGGAAGUCAGAAGAUAUUUGCUGUAUUUGCAUGCAGUAAAAGAGGUCUCAGGGUGCAGGGAUGUGAGUGCUGAAUUUCACAGAUGGAUGCAUAUUAACACAAAUGUAUGGCAGAGUUAGACUGGAUUUCUGUCAGGAGAAAAACUUGUUUCUUUUCAAUGUGUGGCUGCUAAAGGGAGCACAAUGUUUCAUGGACUUGGGAUCAAGGUAGGGCAAGAACAAGGAGAAGGUUUGGCAAGGACUGGGAAGCUUCUAUAUAUAAACGUUGAAAUAAAAAGAAGGUUACAUAUAACCAGGCACAAAAUCCAGCAGAAUUCUAGGGAAUAAAAGAAGAAAGAAGAAUAUAAGCAACAAUGGCAAAAAGAUGGUUUUAAUAAGUCUAUCACAUUAAUGAUUCUCCAAAUUUCCUGUGCAAAGCUAUAUGGGAGGCAACUUUUGGAGUUCCCCUGUAUGGCAAAGGAUCCUGAGCUUGAAAAGGGAGGGGGCAGAUUUUGAGGGAUUUGUACAUCAUGCAGUGACUGUGGAUUGCAGAUUUUAAGCAUUACUAAACCAGGGAAUAGAAUUGCUGCUAUUGCUAUUAUAUACCAGGAUAGCUCACUAAUCCACACAAUCCACUAACUUGCUGGAGUUUUAACCUGUGUUUAUUUUAGAUGAAAUGAUGGCCUGUACAGUUAAUUUUUCUUCAUUUAUCCAUUUAAAUAAUAAAUAUAUCAAAUAGAAAUGAAAACACAAAUCGUGUUUUUGUUACACUCCUCAUCAUGUGAACCUGCUGGUGACAGAGCCCCACGCUAAGUUUAUAAGUUAAACACAAAGACAAAUGAAAAACUUUGAAGAGUACCCCCAUUGGCUUUAAAUUCUAUGAAGAAUGUGAUUUUAAUGCUACAGGUGACCUAUUUUGCUUAUGUUUGAGACUGCCUAGCCAUUAUGGGAUUGCCUCUGCUGGUCCUUUCCUUACAUCAAGCUCAUUAUCUAUUAACGUGAGGCAUGUCUGAAAGGCUGGAAGUGGUCCUUUCCAAACACCAGUCAAAUUUAGAAAUGCCUGUUCCUUUACAGGGGCCGAUUCCUAAAGUAAGGGGCAAACCCAGAGGAACCAAACAGCCUGGAAACAAAGUGGUCCUGCUGGCUUUUGGAAAAAGUGGAAUGCCUCAAGUUAAUUGAUGGUCAGCUACCAGGAAAUAAAAUCUCUCAAACAUCCAGAUUUUCAAGAGCUCCUGAGCAAUUUAAAGUCCUUGAAAGGAAUGUACUAUAGAAUGAAAAAUAUAGGCAUUAUUAAAGAAUGUCUCCUAACUGAAACCCAGCCAGUUUCAUAAAAAUGAGCUAACAACCAAUAACAGGUACUCUGUCUUCUGCUGGAUGCUGUAUGAACCGUAUGUUUUGUAUUUUUGAAGUCACUUCUAAAGCAAUUUUCUUUUUCUUCGCUGUUG
Molecule: long non-coding RNA, 2416 nt
Organism: Cuculus canorus (common cuckoo)
Lineage: Eukaryota; Metazoa; Chordata; Aves; Cuculiformes; Cuculidae
Exons: 5
Source: RefSeq, a predicted model, not a curated record